Zalophus californianus (California sea lion) is the source of this 258-nucleotide long non-coding RNA. RefSeq lists it as uncharacterized. The record is from RefSeq and is a predicted model, not a curated record. The transcript is spliced from 3 exons. NCBI's taxonomy places the organism in Eukaryota, Metazoa, Chordata, Mammalia, Carnivora, Otariidae.
CUCUCCUGGCGUUUGUGAAGAUUACCUGAGACAACAAGACGUCAUCGUCCUCUCUUGAGAUUCUACCUCUGGUAGCCGAACUCAUGAAUAUUCAUCGCAGUAUUUCAUUUCACAUUUCAUCAUAUUCCAGAACAAUAGGACCCUUCUGCCACAGAUACACCCUUCAUAUGUGGAGAAGAAUGGAGUUGCAGUAAACCAGGCCAGCAAUGCCAGUAAUCUGCAGUGAGGUUGUUAUAGUGGAAAUAAAAGUAAUCCAAG